RNAcentral lists this ribosomal RNA (311 nucleotides) under Pseudomonas aeruginosa. Its description in RNAcentral is "bacterial SSU rRNA". It matches the Rfam family "Bacterial small subunit ribosomal RNA", at positions 972 to 1283 of the family's 1533-position model. Lineage: Bacteria; Pseudomonadati; Pseudomonadota; Gammaproteobacteria; Pseudomonadales; Pseudomonadaceae. The record is from RNAcentral.
UACCUGGUCUUGACAUCCACAGAACUUUCCAGAGAUGGAUUGGUGCCUUCGGGAACUGUGAGACAGGUGCUGCAUGGCUGUCGUCAGCUCGUGUUGUGAAAUGUUGGGUUAAGUCCCGCAACGAGCGCAACCCUUAUCCUUUGUUGCCAGCGGUCCGGCCGGGAACUCAAAGGAGACUGCCAGUGAUAAACUGGAGGAAGGUGGGGAUGACGUCAAGUCAUCAUGGCCCUUACGACCAGGGCUACACACGUGCUACAAUGGCAUAUACAAAGAGAAGCGACCUCGCGAGAGCAAGCGGACCUCAUAAAGUA